GACGAACGCUGUCGGCGUGCUUAACACAUGCAAGUCGAACGGAAAGGCCCUGCUUUUGUGGGGUGCUCGAGUGGCGAACGGGUGAGUAACACGUGAGUAACCUGCCCUUGACUUUGGGAUAACUUCAGGAAACUGGGGCUAAUACCGGAUAGGAGCUCCUGCUGCAUGGUGGGGGUUGGAAAGUUUCGGCGGUUGGGGAUGGACUCGCGGCUUAUCAGCUUGUUGGUGGGGUAGUGGCUUACCAAGGCUUUGACGGGUAGCCGGCCUGAGAGGGUGACCGGCCACAUUGGGACUGAGAUACGGCCCAGACUCCUACGGGAGGCAGCAGUGGGGAAUAUUGCACAAUGGGCGGAAGCCUGAUGCAGCAACGCCGCGUGCGGGAUGACGGCCUUCGGGUUGUAAACCGCUUUCGCCUGUGACGAAGCGUGAGUGACGGUAAUGGGUAAAGAAGCACCGGCUAACUACGUGCCAGCAGCCGCGGUGAUACGUAGGGUGCGAGCGUUGUCCGGAUUUAUUGGGCGUAAAGGGCUCGUAGGUGGUUGAUCGCGUCGGAAGUGUAAUCUUGGGGCUUAACCCUGAGCGUGCUUUCGAUACGGGUUGACUUGAGGAAGGUAGGGGAGAAUGGAAUUCCUGGUGGAGCGGUGGAAUGCGCAGAUAUCAGGAGGAACACCAGUGGCGAAGGCGGUUCUCUGGGCCUUUCCUGACGCUGAGGAGCGAAAGCGUGGGGAGCGAACAGGCUUAGAUACCCUGGUAGUCCACGCUGUAAACGGUGGGUACUAGGUGUGGGGUCCAUUCCACGGGUUCCGUGCCGUAGCUAACGCUUUAAGUACCCCGCCUGGGGAGUACGGCCGCAAGGCUAAAACUCAAAGGAAUUGACGGGGCCCCGCACAAGCGGCGGAGCAUGCGGAUUAAUUCGAUGCAACGCGUAGAACCUUACCUGGGUUUGACAUGGAUCGGGAGUGCUCAGAGAUGGGUGUGCCUCUUUUGGGGUCGGUUCACAGGUGGUGCAUGGCUGUCGUCAGCUCGUGUCGUGAGAUGUUGGGUUAAGUCCCGCAACGAGCGCAACCCUUGUUCACUGUUGCCAGCACGUUAUGGUGGGGACUCAGUGGAGACCGCCGGGGUCAACUCGGAGGAAGGUGGGGAUGACGUCAAGUCAUCAUGCCCCUUAUGUCCAGGGCUUCACGCAUGCUACAAUGGCUGGUACAGAGAGUGGCGAGCCUGUGAGGGUGAGCGAAUCUCGGAAAGCCGGUCUCAGUUCGGAUUGGGGCCUGCAACUCGACCUCAUGAAGUCGGAGUCGCUAGUAAUCGCAGAUCAGCAACGCUGCGGUGAAUACGUUCCCGGGGCU
Molecule: ribosomal RNA, 1346 nt
Filed under: uncultured bacterium
Lineage: Bacteria
Description: partial 16S ribosomal RNA
Rfam family: Bacterial small subunit ribosomal RNA
Source: RNAcentral